RNAcentral lists this unclassified non-coding RNA (2946 nucleotides) under Hevea brasiliensis (rubber tree). The record is from RNAcentral. Lineage: Eukaryota; Viridiplantae; Streptophyta; Magnoliopsida; Malpighiales; Euphorbiaceae.
CCUAAACCCCCAACCAUCUCCUCCCCUCCCUGCUGGUAUCUCACUUGGCUAGCUCGCCUGAUCUUCAUUUUUGGUGCCCAAAAUCAAUCUUUUUCGCAAUUCUAAACCUAGAAUCUCUUUCUUCUGUUUUGAAAACCAAAACCCACAGGCUCUUUCUCUAUCCACCAACAAAAUGAGGAAGCCAAAGUCCAAGUCUAGAGAGCUGCGCAAGCAGCGUAGAUUUGCGGAACAGGAAGAAAUUUCGUUACUGAAUGAAUGGAUUGAGUUCCAAAAACCCGACUCUGGCUCCAAUCCUUUGUCUCUUCCACCUCUGCCAUCUAAUGCACCCGUCGGCCGCCUCUCAGACGGCACCUUCUCGCGGUAUGCUGGGUCCACCAAGUUCAGCGAAUUGCCUAUAUCGAAGAAAACGAUGGAUGGGUUGAAGAAAUCGGAUUACGUUUCUAUGACUGAGAUACAGAGAGCGUCUUUGCCGCACGCUCUUUGUGGGAGAGAUAUUCUGGGUGCUGCCAAAACUGGGUCUGGGAAGACCCUAGCUUUUGUUAUACCUGUUCUAGAGAAGUUACAUAGAGAAAGAUGGGGACAUGAAGAUGGGGUGGGCUGCAUUAUAAUAUCUCCCACAAGGGAGUUAGCGGGUCAGCUUUUUGAUGUAUUGAAAGCUGUUGGGAGGUAUCAUAACUUAAGCGCUGGCCUCCUAAUUGGUGGGCGCAAGGACGUUGACACUGAAAAAGAGCGGAUUAAUGAGCUUAAUAUUUUGGUUUGCACUCCUGGACGGCUUCUUCAGCACAUGGAUGAGACUCUAAACUUUGAUUGUUCUCAACUUCAGGUUUUAGUCCUUGAUGAGGCAGAUCGUAUUCUUGAUGUUGGCUUUAAGAAGACUUUGAAUGCAAUUAUUUCACAGCUACCUAAGCAUAGACAAACCUUGCUUUUCUCUGCAACUCAAACAAAAUCUGUUCAGGAUCUUGCAAGACUCAGUUUAAAGGACCCAGAGUAUGUCGGUGUGCAUGAGAAGUCCACAACAUCAACUCCUGAUCGUUUGCAGCAAACUGCAAUGAUAGUUCCUCUUGAGCAAAAGCUGGACAUGUUAUGGAGUUUUAUAAAGGCACAUCUUAAUUCAAAGAUUCUUGUGUUUCUUUCAAGCUGCAAACAGGUGAAAUUUGUCUUUGAAGCAUUUAAGAAAUUGCGGCCUGGAAUUCCAUUGAAGUGUCUUCACGGAAAGAUGAAACAGGGAAAAAGGAUGGUAAUCUAUUCUCAGUUCUGUGAGAAGCGUUCAGUUCUCUUCUCAACUGAUGUGGCCUCAAGGGGUCUUGAUUUUAAUAAGGCAGUUGACUGGGUUGUCCAGGUGGAUUGUCCAGAAGAUGUUGCAUCCUACAUUCACAGAGUUGGUCGCACUGCUCGCUAUGCGUCUGUAGGGAGGUCAGUUUUGUUUCUGACGCCUUCAGAAAUGAAAAUGCUUGAAAAAUUACAAGAAGCAAAAGUACCUGUACAGUUUAUUAAGGCAAACAAUAAAAGACUGCAACCAGUUUCUGGGUUGUUGUCAGCUUUACUGGUUAAAGAUUCAGAUUUGCAGGACUUGGCUAAAAAGGCCUUUGUAACAUAUUUGCGGUCUAUCCAUAUUCAAAAGGAUAAAGAGGUGUUUGAUGUAAUGAAGCUGCCUAUCGAUGAAUUUUCUGCUUCGAUGGGUCUACCAAUGACACCAAAACUCCGAUUUCUGAAUCAGAAAAUUAAGGGAAAGAAGAUGUCAGGAAUUCAAUUGGAUAAUGCUGACAAGGACAUUGCCAACCUAGCAACUGGCGCUUUCAGGGAAGAUCUGGGAGGACCAAGAGGAAAGCUAGAUAUUGGUGACCAUGAGGAAGCAGAUGUGGAGAAAGGUUUUCUACUGUCGAAGGAUGCUGAACACGAGGGUGAAGCCAAAGCAAGCGAACUGGGGCCAAUCUUGUAUGAAACUUUUACAGUAUUUUUGAGAUAUGAGCCUCAGACAUGCUUAAAUGAAUUCAUAGAAAUGGGUUGAACUGCCAAGUUUUUUUACGUUCUGAUGAUUCUCCCCAUUAAUGUUUGAUGCAGUUGUGUGGUAUCCUAUAGGAAUAGUGUUUGAUACAAUUCUUUUCUAUUUCCUUUACUAUCUUUUUUAAUUUAAAUUGCUUCACAGGCCUGCAACACGGGUUCUAAAGAAAAAGAAGUUGAAGAUCAAUAUCCAUAGACCAGUGGGAACAAGGGUUGUCUUUGAUGAGGAGGGUAAUACACUUCCUCCACUUGCAAGGGUGGCUGAUGCAAAGAAUGUUGAUAAUUCAUCUUUACUUGAUCAAGGCAAAAGAGAAGAAUAUUAUGUGAAGAUGAGAGAGGAGUUGAAGCAAGCGGACAAGGAAGAUAAGGCGCAGGACCGACAGCGUCGCCGAGAGAAACGAAUUAAGGAGAAGAUGAAGUGGAAGAAACAAACUAUGGACAAAGAAGAAGAUGGAGACGAUGAGGAUGAUUCUGGGUCAGAAGGAGAGAGAAUGGGUGACAGGAAACGGAAGAGGUCAAAGAUAUAUUUUGAUAGUGACAGUGAUGAUGGCAAGACAAUAGAGGACAGAGAUAAACUAGUGAAAACCGAUUCCAUUUCUCUAUCAGAGCAAGAAGCUCUGGCUCUCAAGUUGUUAAGUUCAAUGCACUAGAGAUUCAAAUAGUUUCAGUUCUUUCAUGUUGCACUCUGCAUUUUUGGCUGGCUGGCAUUUUCUCCAGGAGAAGCAAAUGAUUUUCUUCUCUCCAUUCCAUAUCACGCUGCAGCUGCACCAUUUUGCGGUAGUUUUUGGCUCAGCAUCAAUGCUGAAGUUACAGCGUAUAUUGGUUUAUAUUGAUUGUGAUUAAUUAUUAUUAAUGAGAAACAUGUUCGAUAAACAAUAAAAUUGUAGUGUCUACAUUGUUCCAUGGGAGUGAAUCAAUCGGAUACUGAUCAAUAGAGGCUGCAAG